CCUACGGGAGGCAGCAGUGGGGAAUAUUGCGCAAUGGGGGAAACCCUGACGCAGCAACGCCGCGUGAGUGAGGAAGGACUUCGGUCUGUAAAGCUCUGUUAAUGUGGAAAAAUGGUAGUUGGUCUAAUAGGCCGAUUAUUUGAUGGUACACAUAGAGGAAGCACCGGCUAACUUCGUGCCAGCAGCCGCGGUAAUACGAAGGGUGCAAGCGUUGUUCGGAUUUAUUGGGCGUAAAGCGCGCGUAGGCGGACCUGUAAGUCAGAUGUGAAAUCUCGGGGCUCAACCUCGAAACUGCGUCUGAAACUGCAGGUCUAGAAUCUCGGAGGGGGAAGGGGAAUUUCGCAUGUAGGGGUAAAAUCCGUAGAUAUGCGAAGGAACACCAGAGGCGAAGGCGCCUUCCUGGACGAGUAUUGACGCUGAGGCGCGAAAGCGUGGGGAUCAAACAGGAUUAGAUACCCUGGUAGUCCCACGCUAGUAACUAUAGAACACUAGGUUAGUUAGGUAGGUAGUUUACGUACCCGUUACCUACGUACGUCCGGUACGUACGUAACCGUACGUUAACGGUUACGUUCCGUCCGUCGGGUAAGGUACGGUCGGCGAACGAACGUAAAACGUUAAAACGUUAAGUAAGUUAGUACGGCGUGAGACGUCGCCGACGGACGACCGACGAGGGAGGAGG
This 679-nucleotide ribosomal RNA is filed under the name uncultured bacterium. RNAcentral's name for it is "bacterial SSU rRNA". The stretch from base 1 to 576 matches the Rfam family "Bacterial small subunit ribosomal RNA", at positions 338 to 873 of the family's 1533-position model. The record is from RNAcentral.